GAAGCAUUGAAUUGAAGCCCCAGUAAACGGCGGCCGUAACUAUAACGGUCCUAAGGUAGCGAAAUUCCUUGUCAGGUAAGUUCUGACCCGCACGAAAGGCGUAACGAUUUGGGCGCUGUCUCAGCUGUAGACUCGGUGAAGUCUUAGUACCUGUGAAGAUGCAGGUUACCCGCGACUAGACGGAAAGACCCCAUGGAGCUUUACUGUAGCUUGAUAUUGGACUUUGAUGCAAGAUGUACAGGAUAGGUAGGAGACUGAGAGACAUGCACGCCAGUGUGUGAGGAGUCAAUGUUGGGAUACUACUCUUCUUGUAUUGGAGUUCUAACCGGAUGCCAUGGAACUGGCAACGGGACAGUGUCAGGUGGGCAGUUUGACUGGGGCGGUCGCCUCCCAAAGAGUAACGGAGGCGCCCAAAGAUACCCUCAGCUUGGAUGGAAAUCAAGCGCAGAGUGCAAAGGCAUAAGGGUGUUUGACUGCGAGACCUACAAGUCGAGCAGGGACGAAAGUCGGGCUUAGUGAUCCGGUGGUUCCGCAUGGAAGGGCCAUCGCUCAACGGAUAAAAGCUACCCUGGGGAUAACAGGCUUAUCUCCCCCAAGAGUCCACAUCGACGGGGAGGUUUGGCACCUCGAUGUCGGCUCGUCGCAUCCUGGGGCUGUAGUCGGUCCCAAGGGUUGGGCUGUUCGCCCAUUAAAGCGGUACGCGAGCUGGGUUCAGAACGUCGUGAGACAGUUCGGUCCCUAUCUGUCGUGGGCGUAGGAAGUUUGAGAAGAUCUGUCCUCAGUACGAGAGGACCGGGAUGGACAUAUCAAUGGUGCACCAGUUGUCACGCCAGUGGCACAGCUGGGUAGCUAAAUAUGGAAGGGAUAAACGCUGAAGGCAUCUAAGUGUGAAACCCACUUCAAGAUGAGACUUCCCAUUACGCAAGUAAGUAAGACCCCUUAAAGACGAUAAGGUUGAUAGGUCAGGAGUGUAAGCAUGGCGACAUGUUCAGCGGACUGAUACUAAUAGGUCGAGGACUUAACCU
Molecule: ribosomal RNA, 1025 nt
Filed under: human gut metagenome
Description: bacterial LSU rRNA
Rfam family: Bacterial large subunit ribosomal RNA
Source: RNAcentral